UACGUAGGGUGCGAGCGUUAAUCGGAUUUACUGGGCGUAAAGCGUGCGCAGGCGGCCCGUUAAGACAGGUGUGAAAUCCCUGGGCUCAACCUAGGAAUUGCGCUUGUGACUGGCGGGCUCGAGUACGGUAGAGGGGGGUGGAAUUCCUGGUGUAGCAGUUAAAUGCGUAGAGAUCAGGAGGAACACCGAUGGCGAAGGCAGCCCCCUGGGCCUGUACUGACGCUCAUGCACGAAAGCGUGGGGAGCAAACAGG
This 253-nucleotide ribosomal RNA is filed under the name uncultured microorganism. RNAcentral describes it as "partial 16S ribosomal RNA". It matches the Rfam family "Bacterial small subunit ribosomal RNA", at positions 524 to 776 of the family's 1533-position model. The record is from RNAcentral.